This 252-nucleotide ribosomal RNA is filed under the name uncultured bacterium. RNAcentral describes it as "partial 16S ribosomal RNA". It matches the Rfam family "Bacterial small subunit ribosomal RNA", at positions 524 to 776 of the family's 1533-position model. The record is from RNAcentral.
UACGGAGGGAGCUAGCGUUGUUCGGAAUUACUGGCGUAAAGCGCACGUAGGCGGCUUUGUAAGUUAGAGGUGAAAGCCCGGGGCUCAACUCCGGAACUGCCUUUAAGACUGCAUCGCUUGAAUCCAGGAGAGGUGAGUGGAAUUCCGAGUGUAGAGGUGAAAUUCGUAGAUAUUCGGAAGAACACCAGUGGCGAAGGCGGCUCACUGGACUGGUAUUGACGCUGAGGUGCGAAAGCGUGGGGAGCAAACAGG